Molecule: microRNA precursor, 93 nt
Filed under: Nicotiana attenuata
Lineage: Eukaryota; Viridiplantae; Streptophyta; Magnoliopsida; Solanales; Solanaceae
Description: MIR6152 microRNA precursor family
Rfam family: MIR6152 microRNA precursor family
Source: Rfam by way of RNAcentral
UGUAUUCGAGUGUAUUCGACUAUAUUCACGGCGUGAACAGGGGAUUACACUAUUUUUAAACGGAGAGUGAAUUAAUUAACAUAAUAGACUCCU